GGAACACUUAUGCUGCUAGUAGCCAUCUCUUCAAGAUCACUGUCCUAUAUCAUCUUCCUGGACUGCAUGUGCUUCCGCUCCAGAGCGCCUCACCUCUCCGUGGGCCUCCUACAAAGUAACACAGUCUUCCGGCAAAUACCAUGAAGAAGAACAGAGGACUGUGCAGCUCUGGAGAUGAGUCUCAGGUAACACUGGAGGGAAGGAAGCUGGCGGGAACGAGGGAGAAUAUACUCGGUGUCUCAAGUGGGUCGUUCCCAGGCAGAUGUAAUUGAUUCUGUGAUUCCAGUCUAAUUAGUGGGGAAGAGACUUCUGGCUGGGCAUGAGGAAGUUUUCUAGGCUAUUGUGGUUGAGCCACCACCUUGAUCCCUACUGGUUCUAUAACCUGUGAAAACCAGCUGAGGUCUCUACAUCAGCUCUGAGGACUUUUUAAACAUUUUCGUGCCAAUGAAACGGGUUUCUAAAGCCUCUCUUCGGGGGCUGGGGAGAUGGCUCAGCAGUUAAACAUACUUGCUGCUGUGGCAGAGAAACCGCC
RNAcentral lists this long non-coding RNA (532 nucleotides) under Rattus norvegicus (Norway rat). RNAcentral describes it as "long non-coding RNA NONRATT032797". The record is from RNAcentral. Lineage: Eukaryota; Metazoa; Chordata; Mammalia; Rodentia; Muridae.